CAUCCACUGGCUCCAUGCAGGGAUUUCUGUUGAGAAUUGAGUAUUAUCACUUUCCUUAUGGCUUUGAUCCCACCAUAAAAAAGGAAGCUAUUUACAAGUAAGAUAUCCCUUCUGCAGAAUUAAAUUAAGUGAGGACCCGAGCCUUGAAAUAGCUACUUUCCAUCUCUCUCACAGAGAGGUAGAAAUUGUGGCAUUUAGAGAGAAGGAAGUACUGCUUGGUAAAAUAAAAGAAACCUGCCUUAGAGAAGUAAGUACCACUUGGUAAAAGAAAAGAAGCCCCCCCAAACAAAAGAAAGGUCCAUGAGAUGCAACAAAAGCUUCUUCAUCUUUGGAUGAAAUUCAACUUCACCUAAUGUUCUCUUACAAUUUUGCUGGAUCUCUUCAACAAAUCGACAUUAUUGAGUGAGAUUACUUUAUUUGUGGUGCCAAAAUUAGUAUUCUCAUGUUGUAUGUGUUGUCCAAGUUGAACAGAUGUUAGUAAUAGAAAUUGGUUGUCAUAAGAACACAAUAAUAUCUCAGUGUUCUAGCACAAUUGAUCAGUUAUUGAUUUAUGCUUAUGUAUUGCACAAGAAGUGGAAACUAUUUCUUUUAAUAGUGAUUAGUCAACUCUUCAUUUUGCAGUUUUCA
Eucalyptus grandis is the source of this 627-nucleotide long non-coding RNA. RefSeq lists it as uncharacterized. The transcript has 2 exons. Lineage: Eukaryota; Viridiplantae; Streptophyta; Magnoliopsida; Myrtales; Myrtaceae. The record is from RefSeq and is a predicted model, not a curated record.